RNAcentral lists this ribosomal RNA (433 nucleotides) under uncultured bacterium. RNAcentral describes it as "partial 16S ribosomal RNA". It matches the Rfam family "Bacterial small subunit ribosomal RNA", at positions 29 to 507 of the family's 1533-position model. The record is from RNAcentral.
AACGAACGCUGGCGGCAUGCCUAACACAUGCAAGUCGAACGAGACCUUCGGGUCUAGUGGCGCACGGGUGCGUAACGCGUGGGAACCUGCCCUUAGGUUCGGAAUAACUCCCCGAAAGGGGUGCUAAUACCGGAUAAUGUCUUCGGACCAAAGAUUUAUCGCCUUUGGAUGGGCCCGCGUUGGAUUAGCUAGUUGGUAGGGUAAAAGCCUACCAAGGCGACGAUCCAUAGCUGGUCUGAGAGGAUGAUCAGCCACACUGGGACUGAGACACGGCCCAGACUCCUACGGGAGGCAGCAGUGGGGAAUAUUGGACAAUGGGCGAAAGACUGAUCCAGCAAUGCCGCGUGAGUGAUGAAGGCCUUAGGGUUGUAAAGCUCUUUUACCCGGGAUGAUAAUGACAGUACCGGGAGAAUAAGCUCAGGCUAACUCCGUG